Molecule: ribosomal RNA, 497 nt
Filed under: uncultured bacterium
Lineage: Bacteria
Description: partial 16S ribosomal RNA
Rfam family: Bacterial small subunit ribosomal RNA
Source: RNAcentral
GAUGAACGCUGGCGGCGUGCCUAAUACAUGCAAGUCGAGCGAACGGACGAGAAGCUUGCUUCUCUGAUGUUAGCGGCGGACGGGUGAGUAACACGUGGAUAACCUACCUAUAAGACUGGGAUAACUUCGGGAAACCGGAGCUAAUACCGGAUAAUAUUUUGAACCGCAUGGUUCAAAAGUGAAAGACGGUCUUGCUGUCACUUAUAGAUGGAUCCGCGCUGCAUUAGCUAGUUGGUAAGGUAACGGCUUACCAAGGCAACGAUGCAUAGCCGACCUGAGAGCGUGAUCGGCCACACUGGAACUGAGACACGGUCCAGACUCCUACGGGAGGCAGCAGUAGGGAAUCUUCAGCAAUGGGCGAAAGCCUGACGGAGCAACGCCGCGUGAGUGAUGAAGGUCUUCGGAUCGUAAAACUCUGUUAUUAGGGAAGAACAUAUGUGUAAGUAACUGUGCACAUCUUGACGGUACCUAAUCAGAAAGCCACGGCUAACUACGUA